This 746-nucleotide ribosomal RNA is filed under the name Schistocephalus pungitii. RNAcentral's name for it is "12S ribosomal RNA". Lineage: Eukaryota; Metazoa; Platyhelminthes; Cestoda; Diphyllobothriidea; Diphyllobothriidae. The record is from RNAcentral.
AUAUAUCUGUUUAACUAUGGCAGUAGAAAGUACCUUAAGGUCAUCCGCAUAAAAAGUUUUUAUAUUUUCUAUUUAAGCAUCCUAUGAGCUUUUCUAUUAGCGGUUAGUAUUUUAUUUAAGUGAAAACUUUAUUAAGGAUCUUAAGGUAGAGGGGAUUAGGCACAGUGCCAGCAUCCGCGGUUAUUCUGUUUUCUCUGCUUUUUUGUGGUUUGACAUAAGGUUAAUUAUAAAUAAAGUUAGGUGAAAUUUUUUUAUUACUAUUACGAAUAACUUUAAUGGCAAUAAGUAGCUAUUUUGUGAAAGGGAUUAGAUACCCCAGUAACUGGCUAUGUAGUAUUACUUAGUUUUAUAACUAAAAUAGUUUGGCAGUGAGUUAUUCCUAUCAGGGGAAGGUGUGUUAUAAAGGACGACCCGCCCAUUAAUUUACCUUAACUAUGUUGGUGUAUAUCUGGUUUAAUAUUAUUGCUUAGUUGCGUGAAUUUGUGUAUAUUUAUUUAAGCUAAGUCUAUGUGCUGCAUGUUAAGGUUUUCAUGCGUUACUUUUAUAAUGACUGCCGUGUAAUAGGCUGUUAUUUAGGACUUGAUAGUAAUUCUAAAUAAAUUUGUUAGUGUGAAAUUGGUUUAACUCAGGUACACACCGCCCGUCACCCUCGAUUAUUUUGAGGUAAGUCGUAACAAGGUAGCCCCAGAUGAAUCUAGGGCUAAUUGCCAUUAAUUUUAUCUUUAUAAUAAGAAGUUAUGGCAGUA